RNAcentral lists this ribosomal RNA (460 nucleotides) under uncultured bacterium. RNAcentral describes it as "partial 16S ribosomal RNA". It matches the Rfam family "Bacterial small subunit ribosomal RNA", at positions 338 to 795 of the family's 1533-position model. The record is from RNAcentral.
CCUACGGGUGGCAGCAGUGAGGAAUAUUGGUCAAUGGCCGGAAGGCUGAACCAGCCAUGCCGCGUGAAGGUCAGUGCCCUAUGGGCGUUAAACUUCUUUUGUGCGGGAGUAAUAAUGGUCACGUGUGGCCCGACUAGAGUACCGUACGAAUAAGCAUCGGCUAACUCCGUUCCAGCAGCCGCGGUAAUACGGGGGCUGCCAGCGUUAUCCGGAUUUAUUGGGUUUAAAGGGUGCGGCGGCUGUGAGGUAAGUCAGCGGGGAAAUGCCCCCGCUCAACGGGGUGAAGUGCCAUUGAUACUGGCUGGCUGGAAUGCGGAUGCCGUGGGAGGAAUGUGUGGUGUAGCGGUGAAAUGCAUAGAGAUCACACAGAACACCGAUUGCGAAGGCAUCUCACGAAUCCGCGAUUGACGCUGAUGCACGAAAGCGUGGGUAUCAAACAGGAUUAGAUACCCGGGUAGUC